CGAGGAGUUCUAGUGGCUAGGAUUAGGGUUUGGUGCGGUGGAGUUAUUUAUACCCAUCGACUUUCGAUCUGGGUCGUUCAGUGUUUUUGAUCUGGAACAUACGAUCGCGAUUAAAUAAGAAGUGAAUUUGGACCGUUCAUCGCGAUUUAAUCUGGGUCGUCCGUACGCGAUUCAAUCUGGGUCGUCUGUGCGUGAGAGAACAGAUCUCGAUCUUUCAAUUGCACGCACGCAGAUCACCCAUGUGGCUCCCACCGCGUGGCCUCCCGCGUCAGCACCUCUGCCACUUGGCGCGUCCUGGUUGAUCGAGGCAGUUGACCGAGCGUUUAACGUGGCACAAUUUUUCUAAAUUACGUUUUGACCUCCCGAUU
This 368-nucleotide long non-coding RNA is filed under the name Carica papaya (papaya). RNAcentral's name for it is "long non-coding RNA (CPAP_LNC010004)". Lineage: Eukaryota; Viridiplantae; Streptophyta; Magnoliopsida; Brassicales; Caricaceae. The record is from RNAcentral.